GAUAAACGCUAGCGGCAGGCUUAACACCUGCAAGUCGAGGGGCAGCAUAGAUUGUAGCAAUACAAUUGGUGGCGACCGGCGCACGGGUGCGUAACGCGUAUGCAACCUACCCGUCACAGGGGGAUAAUCCGGAGAAAUCCGGUCUAAUACCCCAUAACAUAUGGAUCGGCAUCGGUUCAUGUUGAAAUUUUCGGAGGUGACGGAUGGGCAUGCGUAGCAUUAGCUUGUUGGUGAGGUAACGGCUCACCAAGGCGACGAUGCUUAGGGGGACUGAGAGGUUUUCCCCCCACACUGGUACUGAGACACGGACCAGACUCCUACGGGAGGCAGCAGUGAGGAAUAUUGGUCAAUGGGCGCAAGCCUGAACCAGCCAUGCCGCGUGCAGGAUGACGGCUCUAUGAGUUGUAAACUGCUUUUGUACGAGGGUAAAGUGGGUUACGUGUAACCUUUUGAAAGUAUCGUACGAAUAAGGAUCGGCUAACUCCGUGCCAGCAGCCGCAGUAA
This 504-nucleotide ribosomal RNA is filed under the name uncultured bacterium. RNAcentral's name for it is "partial 16S ribosomal RNA". It matches the Rfam family "Bacterial small subunit ribosomal RNA", at positions 28 to 523 of the family's 1533-position model. The record is from RNAcentral.